UUCAAAUGUCUGCCUUAUCAACUGUCGAUGGUAGGUUCUGCGCCUACCAUGGUUGUAACGGGUAACGGGGAAUCAGGGUUCGAUUCCGGAGAGGGAGCCUGAGAAACGGCUACCACAUCCAAGGAAGGCAGCAGGCGCGCAAAUUACCCACUCCCGGCACGGGGAGGUAGUGACGAAAAAUAACGAUACGGGACUCAUCCGAGGCCCCGUAAUCGGAAUGAGUACAAUCUAAACCCUUUAACGAGGAUCAAUUGGAGGGCAAGUCUGGUGCCAGCAGCCGCGGUAAUUCCAGCUCCAAUAGCGUAUAUUAAAGUUGUUGCGGUUAAAAAGCUCGUAGUCGAAUCUGUGUCCCGCGCCGCCGGUUCAUCGCACGCGGUGUUUAACUGGCGUGUCCGCGGGACGUCCUGCCGGUGGGCUUUACCGCCCGCGAGGGUGGCGGCCCAACUCAAUCCCACCGCGGUGCUCUUCACUGAGUGUCGAGGUGGGCCGGCACGUUUACUUUGAACAAAUUAGAGUGCUUAAAGCAGGCUAAAACUUCGCCUGAAUACCGUGUGCAUGGAAUAAUGGAAUAGGACCUCGGUUCUAUUUUGUUGGUUUUCGGAACCCCGAGGUAAUGAUUAAUAGGAACGGAUGGGGGCAUUCGUAUUGCGACGUUAGAGGUGAAAUUCUUGGAUCGUCGCAAGACGAACAGAAGCGAAAGCAUUUGCCAAAAACGUUUUCAUUGAUCAAGAACGAAAGUUAGAGGUUCGAAGGCGAUCAGAUACCGCCCUAGUUCUAACCAUAAACGAUGCCAGCUAGCGAUCCGCCGACGUUCCUUCGAUGACUCGGCGGGCAGCUUCCGGGAAACCAAAGCUUUUGGGUUCCGGGGGAAGUAUGGUUGCAAAGCUGAAACUUAAAGGAAUUGACGGAAGGGCACCACCAGGAGUGGAGCCUGCGGGCUUAAUUUGACUCAACACGGGAAACCUCACCAGGCCCGGACACCGGAAGGAUUGACAGAUUGAGAGCUCUUUCUUGAUUCGGUGGGUGGUGGUGCAUGGCCGUUCUUAGUUGGUGGAGCGAUUUGUCUGGUUAAUUCCGAUAACGAACGAGACUCUAGCCUGCUAAAUAGGCGUAUUUCCGACAUCUCAAAGGCCCGCCGGUCCGGCGUUCGCGUCGCGUCCGUGCGCGGUUUUUACUGUCGGCGUACACACAAUUCUUCUUAGAGGGACAGGCGGCUUCUAGCCGCACGAGAUUGAGCAAUAACAGGUCUGUGAUGCCCUUAGAUGUUCUGGGCCGCACGCGCGCUACACUGAAGGAAUCAGCGUGUCCUCCCUGGCCGAGAGGCCCGGGUAACCCGCUGAACCUCCUUCGUGCUAGGGAUUGGGGCUUGCAAUUAUUCCCCAUGAACGAGGAAUUCCCAGUAAGCGCGAGUCAUAAGCUCGCGUUGAUUACGUCCCUGCCCUUGUACACACCGCCCGUCGCUACUACGAUUGAA
This 1474-nucleotide ribosomal RNA is filed under the name Chrysobothris merkelii. RNAcentral's name for it is "SSU rRNA". It matches the Rfam family "Eukaryotic small subunit ribosomal RNA", at positions 298 to 1693 of the family's 1831-position model. The record is from RNAcentral. Lineage: Eukaryota; Metazoa; Arthropoda; Insecta; Coleoptera; Buprestidae.